ACGAACGCUGGCGGCGUGCUUAACACAUGCAAGUCGAACGGAAAGGCCUCUUCGGAGGUACUCGAGUGGCGAACGGGUGAGUAACACGUGGGUAAUCUGCCCUGCACUUCGGGAUAAGCCUGGGAAACUGGGUCUAAUACUGAAUAUGACCACGAGGCGCAUGUCUUGUGGUGGAAAGCUUUUGCGGUGUGGGAUGGGCCCGCGGCCUAUCAGCUUGUUGGUGGGGUGACGGCCUACCAAGGCGACGACGGGUAGCCGGCCUGAGAGGGUGUCCGGCCACACUGGGACUGAGAUACGGCCCAGACUCCUACGGGAGGCAGCAGUGGGGAAUAUUGCACAAUGGGCGCAAGCCUGAUGCAGCGACGCCGCGUGGGGGAUGACGGCCUUCGGGUUGUAAACCUCUUUCAGCAGGGACGAAGCGCAAGUGACGGUACCUGCAGAAGAAGCACCGGCCAACUACG
RNAcentral lists this ribosomal RNA (461 nucleotides) under Mycobacterium sp. RNAcentral's name for it is "bacterial SSU rRNA". It matches the Rfam family "Bacterial small subunit ribosomal RNA", at positions 29 to 505 of the family's 1533-position model. The record is from RNAcentral. Lineage: Bacteria; Bacillati; Actinomycetota; Actinomycetes; Mycobacteriales; Mycobacteriaceae.